AGAGUUUGAUCAUGGCUCAGAACGAACGCUGGCGGCAGGCCUAACACAUGCAAGUCGAGCGCCCGCAAGGGAGCGGCAGACGGGUGAGUAACGCGUGGGAACGUGCCCUUUGGUUCGGAAUAUUCCCGGGAAACUGGGAGCAAAACCGGAUAAGCCCUUCGGGGGAAAGUUUACGCCAAAGGAUCGGCCCGCGUUAGAUUAGGUAGUUGGUGGGGUAACGGCCUACCAAGCCUGCGAUCUAUAGCUGAUCUGAGAGGAUGAUCAGCCACACUGGGACUGAGACACGGCCCAGACUCCUACGGGAGGCAGCAGUGGGGAAUCUUGGACAAUGGGCGCAAGCCUGAUCCAGCCAUGCCGCGUGGAUGACUGAAGGCCCUAGGGUUGUAAAGUCCUUUCGACGGGGACGAUAAUGACGGUACCCGUAGAAGAAGCCCCGGCUAACUUCGUGCCAGCAGCCGCGGUAAUACGAAGGGGGCUAGCGUUGUUCGGAUUUACUGGGCGUAAAGGGCGCGUAGGCGGAUUUUUAAGUCGGGGGUGAAAUCCCGGAGCUCAACUCCGGAACUGCCUUCGAUACUGGAAGUCUGGGGCACGGUAGAGGUGAGUGGAAUUCCGAGUGUAGAGGUGAAAUUCGUAGAUAUUCGGAGGAACACCAGUGGCGAAGGCGGCUCACUGGACCGUUGCUGACGCUGAGGCGCGAAAGCGUGGGGAGCAAACAGGAUUAGAUACCCCGGUAGU
This 735-nucleotide ribosomal RNA is filed under the name uncultured bacterium. RNAcentral's name for it is "bacterial SSU rRNA". It matches the Rfam family "Bacterial small subunit ribosomal RNA", at positions 8 to 794 of the family's 1533-position model. The record is from RNAcentral.